CGGGCCGCCGUAGGUGUUCCUCCAAGUUCACGCGGGCCGCGACAGCUCAACGAUAAGCGAAAGCCUGGUGCCGCCACGUGUCGAUGACUCAGCAACCCUUAGCCGCCUUUAUGGCCCUCGCGGGCCGCGUAAAUGUUAUGCAUGGGUUUACGCGGGCCGCGUAAAACCCAUAUUUUUGCUAUAAAUAGCCUGGACAUCGAGCUUUCAUUCUGUGUCGAAAAAAAUUCUCAAAAACGAAAGUAUGCUGCAUAAAAUCAUAAUUUUCAUUAGGGAGGCGCUGCUACGGUACAGGGUUAUCAGGCUUAUCAGUAGGCUAAACUCUACCCCAUACACUUACAAUCAAAGUAGAUGCUAG
RNAcentral lists this long non-coding RNA (355 nucleotides) under Helianthus annuus (common sunflower). RNAcentral describes it as "sRNA HanXRQr2_Chr09g0375101". The record is from RNAcentral. Lineage: Eukaryota; Viridiplantae; Streptophyta; Magnoliopsida; Asterales; Asteraceae.